AGGCGAACGCUGGCGGCGUGCUUAACACAUGCAAGUCGAACGAUGAACCACCUUCGGGUGGGGAUUAGUGGCGAACGGGUGAGUAACACGUGGGCAAUCUGCCCUUCACUCUGGGACAAGCCCUGGAAACGGGGUCUAAUACCGGAUACUGACCUGCCAAGGCAUCUUGGCGGGUCGAAAGCUCCGGCGGUGAAGGAUGAGCCCGCGGCCUAUCAGCUUGUUGGUGAGGUAAUGGCUCACCAAGGCGACGACGGGUAGCCGGCCUGAGAGGGCGACCGGCCACACUGGGACUGAGACACGGCCCAGACUCCUACGGGAGGCAGCAGUGGGGAAUAUUGCACAAUGGGCGAAAGCCUGAUGCAGCGACGCCGCGUGAGGGAUGACGGCCUUCGGGUUGUAAACCUCUUUCAGCAGGGAAGAAGCGAAAGUGACGGUACCUGCAGAAGAAGCGCCGGCUAACUACGUGCCAGCAGCCGCGGUAAUACGUAGGGCGCAAGCGUUGUCCGGAAUUAUUGGGCGUAAAGAGCUCGUAGGCGGCUUGUCACGUCGGUUGUGAAAGCCCGGGGCUUAACCCCGGGUCUGCAGUCGAUACGGGCAGGCUAGAGUUCGGUAGGGGAGAUCGGAAUUCCUGGUGUAGCGGUGAAAUGCGCAGAUAUCAGGAGGAACACCGGUGGCGAAGGCGGAUCUCUGGGCCGAUACUGACGCUGAGGAGCGAAAGCGUGGGGAGCGAACAGGAUUAGAUACCCUGGUAGUCCACGCCGUAAACGGUGGGCACUAGGUGUGGGCAACAUUCCACGUUGUCCGUGCCGCAGCUAACGCAUUAAGUGCCCCGCCCUGGAGACGCCGACGC
RNAcentral lists this ribosomal RNA (850 nucleotides) under Streptomyces coelicoflavus. RNAcentral's name for it is "bacterial SSU rRNA". It matches the Rfam family "Bacterial small subunit ribosomal RNA", at positions 26 to 873 of the family's 1533-position model. Lineage: Bacteria; Bacillati; Actinomycetota; Actinomycetes; Kitasatosporales; Streptomycetaceae. The record is from RNAcentral.